This 1530-nucleotide long non-coding RNA is filed under the name Oryctolagus cuniculus (rabbit). Its description in RNAcentral is "lncRNA (ENSOCUG00000031789.1)". The record is from RNAcentral. Lineage: Eukaryota; Metazoa; Chordata; Mammalia; Lagomorpha; Leporidae.
AUGUUCUCAAAGGAAAUCCAGGGACCCACUGUCCUACCCCCCAAACACAUCCAGACUCCAGGAUCUCACGCCAUUACAUCUUUCCGUGGUGUUGAGUUAGAGAUGAAAGGGAAUAGAACAAGCUCCAAGGAAACCAGAAGAGAUGAAAGGAUCACAGUUUCUUCAAACAACUCCAAAGACUCCGAGAGACUCAAAUUCUUGAGUGAGUGCUGUAGAGCAGCAGAUCAGCAAUCAAUUAGACAGAAUGCAACUCCAGGGAGCCCCGAAUAUGAAACUGGCAAGCCCCAGCCCCAAAAGACUGGGGUUCAGUGUGCUCGAACAUUACCCUCUUAGGGAGAACAUUCCUCCUCAUCAGGAACAGGAUGGACAAAAUUACAAUGGUUACACAAUCACCUUCCCUCUUUUAAAACAAAGCGUGAGUCAAGAUUCUUUGACUUAAAAAUAACAACAGCCCAACACAACUGAGUUUAAGAAAAAACUAAAUGGAAAUUUAUACAGUUCACAUGGCUGGAACAAUACUGGAAAAAUCACAGAAUUCAGAAGUUCUGCAAAAACCAAGGCUUCUGGGGCUGCAGCCUGGGACUUGCUGUUUCCAGAUUCUCUGCAUGCGUCUGCUGCUGGAGGUGCUGCUUCCAUUCUCCCUCCACAUGCUAAACAUGGGAUUAGACACACAUUUCAAGAGGAAAUCCAGGAGGCCCAGCUGAGGUCAUUACCAAUUAUAAAACCACGUUCUGAAGCCAAAUGGAACCUUUAAUUAGCUAAACCUGGAUUCCUUGCUCACCCACGACUUAAAAGAGGCAGAGACAGACAAUGGGACUGACAGCCCCAGUCAAAUCACCUGGAAUGGGAGAGACAUUCCCAAAGGGGAAAGGGGUAUGGUAUGGAUACUGUUACCUAGAAGAAGAAAACAGACUGAAUGACGGCCCUGUCCCUCCAACAUAAGGCUUCCUCUGCUCUUACGCACUUUUUUACUGAGCACUCACUAGCAUUUAAAUACUUAUUAAAUAACAGACACUGCAGUAUUUUUCUUUAGAACACUCAAUUUUAUACAUGAUAACUAUAGCUUAGGUUAAACCUCAUAUCCAAGGUCACCCAGCAUGGGGGCUCCAGAACUUAUUCUCUUGACCAGUUUGCUGUAUCGCCUCCCAGAUAAACUGGACAUCAAAAGACUUGGAUCGAAAAUAUAAAUGAUAGGGGCCGGCUCCAUGGUGCAGGUUAAUCCUCUGCCUGCGGCACUGGCAUCCCAAAUGGGCACCGGUUCUAGUCCCAGCUGCUCCUCUUCCAAUCUAGCUCUCUACUGUGGCCUGGGAAAGCAGUAGAAGAUGGCUCAAGUCCUUGGGCCCCUGCACCCACAUGGGAGACCGGAAAGAAGCACCUGGCUCCGGGCUUUGGAUCAGCGCAGCUCCGGCUCUUGCGGCCAUUUGGGGAGUGAAGCAACGGACAGAAGACUUUUUCUCUGUUUCUCCCUCUAACUGUCUGUAACUCUACCUCUCAAAUAAAUAUAUAUAAUCUUUUAAAAUAUAUAUAAAG